AGAUGAUUCUAAAGCCCAGCUAAGUUGAGACACUAAACGUUGGGCGUGGGUACAAGCAAUGCUGCCAUCAAUUCAAUUGUGGACUGGGCCAAGUCUUUGUGCUCAGCAAAGACCUUUUCACCAGGGGCAUGAAUAGAGAAAACCCAGUGGCUGGACUGAGGAGAGGCAUGAGACGGAAGCCAUGGCAGAUGGAAGCUCGACAUCGCUUGGAUCAGAUGCUCAAGUGACAGGGGAAGAGAGCUACCACCUUCAACUUUCCACAAGCUCUUGCUCGCAGUGCCCAGUCAGGGCUGAGAUGUUUACUUAAGGGGAAAGCACUCGCUCCUUCCCUUGAAGCAUGACAUAAGCAUGACAUAAGCAUGACAUAAGCUGUUCUUGAAUAUGGUUUGUCAGGUCGAGUAAGCUCACCUCCAGUCCUUAUCCCCUGGAGAGUUCCUCAUGUAAGGUGCAAAAGAUGCUGAGUCCCCAGGAUGCUGGGAGCCCAGUGAGUGCCUUCUGCAGCUCAGAGAGAACUCUUGCAGAAGAAACAUCUGUUUUCUACUUCAAUUGUCUGUUUGCUGUGUUACAAAAAUUGAACCCAGGACCUCAAGGAUGCUAGGCGAGAGUUCUGCCACUAUGCUAUGUCCCUGGGUCUCCCCCAUGGGACAUGUUUAGCUAUUUAGAAUGCUUCAAGGCCCAUGGAGACAGCCUGGGCUAGCUCUUGCACAGCUCCCAUCUGAGUGGUAACUUGCUUUUGUUAAGAUUCAGAAAUAAACCCCACGGGGAAUUUUUCUCCUAUUCUCAAUGCAAUCUCCAUGAUGGCCCAGAGUCAAAGCUCUGUAUCCUCCAUGAGAAAUGAUUGUAGUUUUGUUGGGAUGACCUCUAGCCCUGUGGUCUGCUACAAAACCGUGCAGAAUCCAGAAAGGGUGCUGAUGUGAGAGUAAAUGGCUAGAGGAGACAUCUGUAUUGCUGAGGCAAGAUAGCCUGCCCUGUGUGUCUGUAGGUAGAAGCCUCCUUCUACCAAGCCCUCUAGGCUCCCACACCCAUGUCCUUGAACUUGCUGGCCUGCUCUUCUUGAGCCUUGGGCGAUUUAUGCAAACCAACUCUUGGGUAUUAUUUCUAGUACUCAGAAGUGUGCUUCAUAUGUCCCUGGUGUCCUGUGACUCUGGCCAACAAAAGCAGGUGGCCUCUUUCUCUAGAAGUCCCCCCCCCCCCAGGACUCAGAUUUACCCAACAAUUAGAAUCCUCCAUUCUUCCUGCCAAUGCCUAAACAAUGUCUGUGCGGUGAAGCACUCUCAAUUAACAGUCUGUGAUAUGAGUGGAAGUGAAUUCUCCAGGAUAAUUGUGAUUUCAUCCUUUACUCGUUGAUUUUCUUGAAACAGGGUCUUGCUGUAUAGCCCAAGCUGGCCUUGAACUCAGGUUUCUCCUGCAUCCAAUUAUAAAAACAUCAAAUCCCCGUGUUAAUAAACUCCCAGACCUACUGUGUGUUAGUGACUGACAUUGAAGUCAAAAUGAGAGCUUUAUCAAAAAAGAUGUUGUGGGAAGAUUUUCAGCGUAUUGAACUAUGUAUUAGCCAUGAGCAAUGCCUGCACAUACUAGCCUUGUACAAUGCCUGUACAUAGUCAUGUAUGAUGCCUCUAAUCUCACUCUGAGAAGCUGAGACAGGAGGAUUAUGAAUGAUACCCUGUCUUCAAUAACAACCAGAAAAAGAAAAAAAAAGGAAGUGAUCAUGCAACUCUUACUAAAUAUGUUGAAUACUAAUCUCUAAGAAGCAGCUGUGGACCUUGCACGAGUGACAUCUGAUACAGCUAGAGGGAGGGGCCUCCCUGAGGUAAUACAGUGUCUGGUGUGUGUGGUCUACAAGUAGUAAAUAUGAAGAAA
Molecule: long non-coding RNA, 1860 nt
Organism: Mus pahari (shrew mouse)
Lineage: Eukaryota; Metazoa; Chordata; Mammalia; Rodentia; Muridae
Exons: 4
Source: RefSeq, a predicted model, not a curated record